GAUGAACGCUGGCGGCGUGCCUAAUACAUGCAAGUCGAGCGAACGGACGAGAAGCUUGCUUCUCUGAUGUUAGCGGCGGACGGGUGAGUAACACGUGGAUAACCUACCUAUAAGACUGGGAUAACUUCGGGAAACCGGAGCUAAUACCGGAUAAUAUUUUGAACCGCAUGGUUCAAAAGUGAAAGACGGUCUUGCUGUCACUUAUCGAUGGAUCCGCGCUGCAUUAGCUAGUUGGUAAGGUAACGGCUUACCAAGGCAACGAUGCAUAGCCGACCUGAGAGGCUGAUCGGCCACACUGGAAGUGAGACACGGUCCAGACUCCUACGGGAGGCAGCAGUAGGGAAUCUUCGGCAAUGGGCGAAAGCCUGACGGAGCAACGCCGCGUGAGUGAUGAAGGUCUUCGGAGCGUAAAACUCUGUUAUUAGGGAAGAACAUAUGUGUAAGGAACUGUGCACAUCGUGACGGUACCUAAUCAGAAAGCCACGGCUAACUACGUG
This 497-nucleotide ribosomal RNA is filed under the name uncultured bacterium. RNAcentral's name for it is "partial 16S ribosomal RNA". It matches the Rfam family "Bacterial small subunit ribosomal RNA", at positions 28 to 507 of the family's 1533-position model. The record is from RNAcentral.